CCCUUAGAUGUUCUGGGCUGCACGCGCGCUACACUGAUGAACGCAACGAGACGACCUGUACCGAAAGGCAUGGGUAAACUUGUGAAAGUUCAUCGUGAUGGGGAUAGAUUAUUGCAAUUAUUAAUCUUCAACGAGGAAUUCCUAGUAGACGUAGUUCAUCAGACUGCAUCGAUUACGUCCCUGCCCUUUGUACACACCGCCCGUCGCUCCUACCGAUUGAAUGCUCAGGUGAGCCAUUCGGACUUUCAUCAUGCUGGUUUCCAGUUUUGAUGAAGGAAAGUCUUGCGAACCUUAUCAUUUAGAGGAAGGAGAAGUCGUAACA
This 322-nucleotide ribosomal RNA is filed under the name uncultured eukaryote. Its description in RNAcentral is "partial 18S ribosomal RNA". It matches the Rfam family "Eukaryotic small subunit ribosomal RNA", at positions 1470 to 1796 of the family's 1831-position model. The record is from RNAcentral.